This 372-nucleotide ribosomal RNA is filed under the name Triticum aestivum (bread wheat). RNAcentral's name for it is "partial small subunit ribosomal RNA". Lineage: Eukaryota; Viridiplantae; Streptophyta; Magnoliopsida; Poales; Poaceae. The record is from RNAcentral.
AUGGUGAUAGUGGUCGCUCAUGUUCAUCUCGACUGCCGAAAUCAUGUGCCCUUAGCGGACGUUGUACUCCUCGGCAGUGGCCACUAUCAGCGAGCGGCGGCGGCCAAGGCGAAGGGAUCCAUGCAGAUCGUGAGCAACCGUCCAUGCACGACUGCGGCAGACCGGAACACGAGUGGGAGGCGGCGGAUUCCCCAUGGAAGGCCGAGGAGUGGCAGGGGUAGAGGUGUAUGCAGGAGGGAGGGAAGAGAAAGGGCUGGUGCUAUGGCCCGCGGGACGGGAGGACGUGCCAGUGACGAGGGAAGCGAAGGGCGGAGCGGCAGGAGGCCUAGCGGGUUGAUGAGAUCCCGUGCAGUAGCUCGCAACAAACCCUAG